GUGUCAGCAGCCGCGGUAAUACGUAGGGUCCGAGCGUUGUCCGGAGUGACUGGGCGUAAAGCGCGCGCAGGCGGCCUGUGAGGUGUCACGUGAAAGCCCCGAGCUCAACUCGGGAGGGUCGUGGCAAACCGGCGGGCUUGAGGCCGGUAGAGGUGGGUGGAACUCCUGGUGGAGUGGUGAAAUGCGUAGAGAUCAGGAAGAACACCCGUGGCGAAGGCGGCCCACUGGGCCGGACCUGACGCUGAGGCGCGAAGGCGUGGGGAGCGAACGGGAUUAGAUACCCCGGUAGUCC
RNAcentral lists this ribosomal RNA (292 nucleotides) under uncultured bacterium. RNAcentral's name for it is "partial 16S ribosomal RNA". It matches the Rfam family "Bacterial small subunit ribosomal RNA", at positions 505 to 796 of the family's 1533-position model. The record is from RNAcentral.